AAGAGAGAGACAUGCGCGCAUAUCAAUAAGCGGAGGAAAAGAAACUAACAAGGAUUCCCUUAGUAACGGCGAGUGAAGCGGGAAGAGCUCAAAUUUGAAAUCUUCAAGGUUUUACCUUGACGAAUUGUAGUUUAAAGAAGUGUUUUCUGCUGAAGUUUUGGUAAAAGUUCUUUGGAAUAGGACAUCAUAGAGGGUGAGAAUCCCGUAUUUGACCAUUAUUUUCAGCUUUGUGAUACACUUUCAAAGAGUCGGAUUGUUUGGGAAUGCAGUCCAAAAUGGGUGGUAAAUUUCAUCUAAAGCUAAAUAUUGGCGAGAGACCGAUAGCGAACAAGUACCGUGAGGGAAAGAUGAAAAGAACUUUGAAAAGAGAGUUAAACAGUACGUGAAAUUGUCAAAAGGGAAGCGUUUGACACCAGUGUUGUUUUCUCGAAAAUCAAUUAAAAAUGGCUCGAUUUUGUAUUGUUGAGACCUUAAAAGCUCACUGUACAUUUUUCGUGUCUUUUUUAAUGCACCUUUUCGUUUAACAAGUCAACAUCAGUUUCUUUUGUUGUAAAAGGGUCAUUGGAAGGUGGCUUUCUUUUCGGAGAAAGUGUUUAUAGCCUUUGGCCUCUGCAAUCGGAGAGACUGAGGUCUGCAGCGUAGACUCUUCGGGGUUAGAUACAUUUGUGCUAAGUUAUAGCUUUUUAUAGACAAGCUUGUUGACUAUAAUUAGUCUUGUAGCUUACUCGCUUAUGCUAUUUUACCUACGCUUAGGAUGUUGAAGAUGUAGCACAUCAU
RNAcentral lists this ribosomal RNA (777 nucleotides) under uncultured Neocallimastigales. RNAcentral's name for it is "partial large subunit ribosomal RNA". It matches the Rfam family "Eukaryotic large subunit ribosomal RNA", at positions 23 to 634 of the family's 3401-position model. Lineage: Eukaryota; Fungi; Neocallimastigomycota; Neocallimastigomycetes; Neocallimastigales. The record is from RNAcentral.